Molecule: transfer RNA, 84 nt
Filed under: Astyanax mexicanus (Mexican tetra)
Lineage: Eukaryota; Metazoa; Chordata; Actinopteri; Characiformes; Acestrorhamphidae
Rfam family: tRNA
About the family: Transfer RNA (tRNA) molecules are approximately 80 nucleotides in length. Their secondary structure includes four short double-helical elements and three loops (D, anti-codon, and T loops).
Source: Rfam by way of RNAcentral
ACCAGGAUGGCCGAGUGGUUAAGGCGUUGGACUUAAGAUCCAAUGGAUGUUAAAUCCACGUGGGUUCGAACCCCACUCCUGGUA